UACGGAGGGGGCGAGCGUUAUUCGGAAUUAUUGGGCGUAAAGGGCGCGUAGGCGGCUCGAUAAGUCAAAGGUGAAAUCCCUCGGCUCAACUGAGGAACUGCCUUUGAAACUGUAGAGCUUGAGUCCGGGAGGGGGUAGCGGAAUUCCCAGUGUAGCGGUGAAAUGCGUAGAUAUUGGGAGGAACACCAGUGGCGAAGGCGGCUACCUGGACCGGAACUGACGCUGAGGCGCGAAAGCGUGGGUAGCAAACAGG
RNAcentral lists this ribosomal RNA (253 nucleotides) under uncultured bacterium. RNAcentral describes it as "partial 16S ribosomal RNA". It matches the Rfam family "Bacterial small subunit ribosomal RNA", at positions 524 to 776 of the family's 1533-position model. The record is from RNAcentral.